CCUACGGGUGGCUGCAGUGAGGAAUAUUGGUCAAUGGGCGCGAGCCUGAACCAGCCAAGUAGCGUGAAGGAUGACUGCCCUACGGGUUGUAAACUUCUUUUAUCAAGGAAUAAAGUGAGGCACGUGUGCCUUUUUUUAUGUACUUUAUGAAUAAGGAUCGGCUAACUCCGGUCCAGCAGCCGCGGUAAGUCGGAGGAUCCCGGGGUUAUCCGGAGUUAUUGGGGUUAAAGGGAGCGUAGAUGGGUUGUUAAGGCCGUUGUGAAAGUUUGCGGCGCAACCGUAAUAGUGCAAUUGAUACUGGCAGCCUUGAGUACAGGUGAGGUAGGCGGAAUGCGUGGUGUAGCGGUGAAAUGCUUAGAUAUCACGAAGAACUCCGAUUGCGAAGGCAGCUUACUAAACUGCCACUGACAUUGAUGCUCGAAAGUGUGGGUAUCAAACAGGAUUAGAUACCCUUGUAGUC
This 460-nucleotide ribosomal RNA is filed under the name uncultured bacterium. RNAcentral's name for it is "partial 16S ribosomal RNA". It matches the Rfam family "Bacterial small subunit ribosomal RNA", at positions 338 to 795 of the family's 1533-position model. The record is from RNAcentral.